GGAGCGGAUGUCAGUCAAGCUGUGCUUCACGGUGCAGGGGUUCCCCACCCCCGUGGUGCAGUGGUAUAAAGACGGCAGCUUGAUCUGCCAGGCCGGGGAGCCGGGCAAGUACAGAAUUGACAGCAAGUACGGCGUGCACACACUGGAGAUCAACAGGUAAGCGCCCAGACGCCUGCCCAGGUGGUCAGGCCCCAAACACGGGAGCAGAGGCCAGCUCACUCCACGUUCCGCACGGCGCUCCUGGAGCUUCUGAGUUAACUAUUGGCGGGAGACACAAGUGUCCCUCCGUCUCCCUGGUGGCAGCUGAGGGGUGUGGACCCGAGCUCUGCCCAGGCUUCUGCUUUGGACACAAAGGGAUUAGGUGGUUUAGACGGUUUAUCAAAGGACGACGGCAGCCAGUCCAGGUGUGAGGCCACAGGGAAAGCUGAGAUGCCCUCAUGCCCGCCCACCAGCCGGGCUGAAUCUUCUCCCAGGUUUGGGCCACAAUCCCUAAGCUCCACUCUUCAAGGAAACGCGACUUUUUUUUUCUCACGACAAAUUGGAAACGUGUAAUAAAUACAGGUGGGCUUCCCAGGCGGUGCUGGUGGUAAAAAAUCCAUCUGCCAGUGCAGGAGACCUAGCAGGCUCAGGUUCG
Molecule: long non-coding RNA, 634 nt
Filed under: Capra hircus (goat)
Lineage: Eukaryota; Metazoa; Chordata; Mammalia; Artiodactyla; Bovidae
Description: lncRNA (ENSCHIG00010021679.1)
Source: RNAcentral